Molecule: long non-coding RNA, 1517 nt
Filed under: Chrysemys picta bellii (western painted turtle)
Lineage: Eukaryota; Metazoa; Chordata; Testudines; Emydidae
Description: lncRNA (ENSCPBG00000006882.1)
Source: RNAcentral
UCUCAAAAAUGUGAUUAGUUUUCUUUUUAAAUGGGCUGUUUGUCUUUUCACUUUUAAUUAAAAGGCACAGUGACUGAAGAUGUCUGAUGUCGAUGAGGGUUUCAUCUGUACAUGGCUCCUGCUUCAUCAGCAUCCAGCUCUAACUCUCCUGACCAUGUGGCAACAACUUAGAUAUUGGACAUCUUUGCCAAAUGCCUGCAUGAGGUGGCUGUAUGUGGCAGAGCAAGUGGUCUUUGGCUAUGAAGACUUUGGGGAUCUUUUGGCACAAAAGGAAAAAUAUCCCGACUUUUGCAUGAUGGGAUAGCCAUUUCCAGCUCAGCUGUAGUAGCCAGCAGAAGAAACUCUACGCAACUGGAGACCAAGCUCAGUAACCAUGAAUAACGAGAGCCUGAAGAUCAUUCUCAAUCCCAGGCUUCAUACAGACCAAUACAAGGCACUGUUGCAAUACCAUUCCAGUUAAGUUUCUGCCUUACUUUUAAUUAUUCAUUACCAGUCAGAAUUCCUGUAGCUUUCUUAGCAGUUAUGUAUUCCAGAAGCCAAACAAAGAAUAACAAUGAAAGAAUUUGAAUCCAUUAUUUUAGCUAAAUAAUUCUAAAUGCCUCAUUCUAAAUUUUAUUUAAAAAUGAAUAUGUGAAUGCAAAGUAUUUUUUUUUGUUCAAUUAAGUUAUCACAUAUAUAUUGUGGGUAAGUCAGAUAUUUGCAAAAGUUUUUUCUUAAAAGUUGGAGAAUAGGGCAAGUUUAAAUAUUCACAGAUGUGAAAAUGAGCAUCUAAGCAUUUCAUUCCUCUACUGGGUAAAACAGAGCAGCUGAAUUUUCAUGUCUCUGGAGGGAGCAUGUACCCAGAUUUCAUUAUUCACAGGAGUCUUAUAUGAUUCCUCAGACACUGCAAUGAAAAAUAUAUUCCCAGUUGUAUUUCUUGUUAAAAAAUAUUUGUUAAAUGGAGGUUAUUUACCUGUAAGUGAGGGUACCCUCUCUGUAUUCCACACAUGGGUACAUAUGUGCCGCAUGUGCCUGAGACCAGAGAUUUCUAGCAAGUAGUAUCUAUUGGUCUGCAGUUUCUCCCCUCAUGCUGUGUACCAUAGGUAUAAAGUGGCAGUGUAGACCAAUGCCUCUCCAGUUACUCCUCUUAUCCCAAAGCAGAGGAGAAGAAGGGCAGAUAGUGGACUACAGAUCGGGACCACAAAUCUCAAAAAACCUCCAGUUCUUGGUAAGCAACUUCCACGUCUUCUCCAAGUGCAGGUUUCUAUGUGUAUUCAAACAGAAGUGGGGUGGAAGAAGGCAGUUGGUAUAGAUGUCUGUAAUACUGCUGUCCCAACAGCUGCAUCUGUAGAUGAGGUCUGGACUAAGGUGCAGUGUUUCAUGAAAGUAUGGCUGGAACUCCAGGUCUUAAAAAUGUCCAGAUAUUUUUGAAAGAAGAGAUGCUAUUGAGGUUGCCUGUGGUCUAGUGGAAUGGGCCCUCACCCCUCCAGGGAAGGAAUACACACCAACUAAUAAAGCAUGAUACAGCUGGAGAUCCA